GUUUUGUUCCAUAUUUGUGAGAUUGAAAUCAUAGCGCAUUGUAAAAUAACCCACUGGUGUUACCCUGAAACGACACAUUUGGAUUUCUUACCCUAAUCAUCAUAUCAUGUUAAUAUAUUCUAGUCAUCUUGUUUUCUAUUUUAAACAAAAUAAUUUGACAUUCCAUUUGAUUACUGUUUUCUUGCUGUAUGUAUAACAUACCUUAAAUACAUGUAUAUGUGCAUGUACUGCAAUUGUUUUUGUUGAAUAUAAAAGUCCUCUGUUUUGAAUUUUUGAUUCAUAGUGAACAUCUUUC
This 295-nucleotide long non-coding RNA is filed under the name Mytilus galloprovincialis (Mediterranean mussel). Lineage: Eukaryota; Metazoa; Mollusca; Bivalvia; Mytilida; Mytilidae. The record is from RNAcentral.